Molecule: ribosomal RNA, 433 nt
Filed under: uncultured bacterium
Lineage: Bacteria
Description: partial 16S ribosomal RNA
Rfam family: Bacterial small subunit ribosomal RNA
Source: RNAcentral
AACGAACGCUGGCGGCAUGCCUAACACAUGCAAGUCGAACGAGACCUUCGGGUCUAGUGGCGCACGGGUGCGUAACGCGUGGGAACCUGCCCUUAGGUUCGGAAUAACUCCCCGAAAGGGGUGCUAAUACCGGAUAAUGUCUUCGGACCAAAGAUUUAUCGCCUUUGGAUGGGCCCGCGUUGGAUUAGCUAGUUGGUAGGGUAAAAGCCUACCAAGGCGACGAUCCAUAGCUGGUCUGAGAGGAUGAUCAGCCACACUGGGACUGAGACACGGCCCAGACUCCGACGGGAGGGAGCAGUGGGGAAUAUUGGACAAGGGGGGAAAGGCUGAUGCAGCAGUGGCGGGUGAGUGAGGAAGGCCGUAGGGUGGGAAAGCGCUUUGAGCCGGGAUGAUAAUGACAGUACCGGGAGAAUAAGCGGCGGCUAACGCCGUG